AACAAUGGGCAGUAGGAGGGGAGUGGAGUGGCCUCAACAGAGAGGCCCCUCUUCCUCCCUCAAUUCCAGGGUGUGCCUGAGAGAGAGCUUCUGUGCUUCGCUCCAAAAAAAAGAUGGUGAAAUUGAGGUUCAUUUCAGGAAUUAUGGAACUUGCUGGAAGUCAUGCAGCUACUAAGUGAUAGAGACAUUAGUCUGAGGAGUCUUGUGGCCAUUUUGAAAUGUUAGAGUCCUAGGGAAAGAAAAAUCAUGGAAUUUCCAUAUUCAUGGAAAAACAGGACCUUCUCAGAUGACUAAAAGAAAUCAAAAUUCCAUUCACAAAAGAAAAAAGUUACAUGAAAUGUGUCUUUAGGAUAAAUUCCCAGAAAUGGAAUUGCUCUGGAUGCCCUGCACUGCUGAUUUGAUACAGAUUGCCAAAUGGCCUGAAGAGUUACUUUUCAAAUUUUAGGUCCCAGAUGUCCAGUUAUGGUGGAGCCCUCCCUACCUUUAAGCUCACUGUGAGCUCCCCAGAUUCUGCAAGAAAGGCCAGGGUAGAGAAAAUACCCGGCGAAAAACACAACUAACCUGUGCCUGGUUCUGGAAGGUUCUUCACGCACAUUAUCUUGUGCAAGCCACAGAUCAUUCUUAAGAAGCUGGUAUCGUCUGAUCUACUUUAUAUAUGAAGACUCGGAAGCUCAGAAGCUGGAUAAAUUCCUCAAAGAGAGAAGUUUGCUAUUGAAACUUGACUUUAUGGGGCCACAAAAUGCCCUGGGCACUUGGAGGAUGAGUAGUAAAAGUAGGGUGAAGAGGCCAA
Molecule: long non-coding RNA, 790 nt
Organism: Herpailurus yagouaroundi (jaguarundi)
Lineage: Eukaryota; Metazoa; Chordata; Mammalia; Carnivora; Felidae
Exons: 4
Source: RefSeq, a predicted model, not a curated record